UACGUAGGUGGCAAGCGUUGUCCGGAAUUAUUGGGCGUAAAGCGCGCGCAGGUGGUUCCUUAAGUCUGAUGUGAAAGCCCACGGCUCGACCGUGGAGGGUCAUUGGAAACUGGGGAACUUGAGUGCAGAAGAGGAAAGUGGAAUUCCAAGUGUAGCGGUGAAAUGCGUAGAGAUUUGGAGGAACACCAGUGGCGAAGGCGACUUUCUGGUCUGUAACUGACACUGAGGCGCGAAAGCGUGGGGAGCAAACAGG
RNAcentral lists this ribosomal RNA (253 nucleotides) under uncultured bacterium. RNAcentral's name for it is "partial 16S ribosomal RNA". It matches the Rfam family "Bacterial small subunit ribosomal RNA", at positions 524 to 776 of the family's 1533-position model. The record is from RNAcentral.